This is a long non-coding RNA of Salvia miltiorrhiza (redroot sage), 619 nucleotides long. RefSeq lists it as uncharacterized. The record is from RefSeq and is a predicted model, not a curated record. Lineage: Eukaryota; Viridiplantae; Streptophyta; Magnoliopsida; Lamiales; Lamiaceae. The transcript has 3 exons.
CACUUCACACGAUACUUUGCCCCCCACCAAAAUAAACUUUAGCCAUAAUACCCAUUCCCUUCCACUCACCAUUUCUCCUACAUACCAAGGAACUAAGUGCAGAGCUACACCCACAGAAGUUCAGCUAUACCACACGGACAUCCCUAUCACUUCACUCAUUCUGAAAAUUUUCAUUUGCUCACCAAGAUCAUUUCGACAGAAUCCAGCACACAACAAACAAACAGGAUCAACACUCACUGAAAUUUCUCACAAGGCUUUGAGCAUCAGGAGGAUUAGCACUGCUAUUCCGAUUCAGAGAUAACGUUAAACGACAGGCAUUGCCUAUACAGGUGGGCUUAUUUUUCAAAUGUAUGAUUUAGCUAUUGAGCUUAAAUAUUCGUGAAAUAUAAACUGUUUAUCCAAUAAAAUAUUUUUGUGCACUCUACCAUGUUUAAUGCUCGUACAGUUAAUCAAUUGAGGUUCUCUUAUGACCUAACACGUUGUUUGAGAAUUGUGUACACUUGUUAGCUGACUCGGUGGGUUGAUCUCCAUCGGGCACUAACCAGAGGCGUUAUAAGGGUGCUCGACGGGAUGUGUUCCGGAGCAUAGAAAUGAUAGGCCUGUCUGGAUUAAUUUCCGA